Molecule: long non-coding RNA, 497 nt
Filed under: Citrus maxima (pomelo)
Lineage: Eukaryota; Viridiplantae; Streptophyta; Magnoliopsida; Sapindales; Rutaceae
Description: long non-coding RNA (CMAX_LNC001405)
Source: RNAcentral
AACACUCAGCUGCACCUGUUGGUUCUCCUGCAGCAAGGUUUCCUGCUAUUGGUGGUGUAAAAAAUGGUGACGGUUUAAGUUUUGGUGAAGGGAUUUUGAGAAGUGGGCUAAAGAAUAGCGAGUGUAAUGAUGAUAAAGCCGUCAUAAUGCGUGUUGUUCUAUGUGGCUGCUUUGUUGAGGAAGAAGAUGAAGUGAAGGAAGGAGAAGGCGGGAGCCAUGUGGAAGAAACUAGACAAGAGAGGAGAAAAGAAAGCGAAACUCAAACAGUCGCGGGUUGUUUGCUUGCUGUGUGGUGGGUUCACUAAUUCUGGCCACACAAUUUUAAAGAUUCAUUUUGCUACCCAAUAUGUGUAAGAAGGGGUUUGUAUCAAUUGUGAUGGCUUUAUGUUGAAGACUUAAAAUUAUUUUGAUUUGUUGUAUAAAAUUUAAUUAUUUGUAAUUACGUUGAAGGCUUAAAAUUAUUAUGUUUUUAUUUAUGUGGAGGUUGUUAAAAUUUG